AACGCUAGCUACAGGCUUAACACAUGCAAGUCGAGGGGAAACGAUAGAGAAAGCUUGCUUUUUCUAGGCGUCGACCGGCGCACGGGUGAGUAACGCGUAUCCAACCUGCCCACCACUUGGGGAUAACCUUGCGAAAGUAAGACUAAUACCCAAUGAUAUCUCUAGAAGACAUCUGAAAGGGAUUAAAGAUUUAUCGGUGAUGGAUGGGGAUGCGUCUGAUUAGCUUGUUGGCGGGGUAACGGCCCACCAAGGCGACGAUCAGUAGGGGUUCUGAGAGGAAGGUCCCCCACAUUGGAACUGAGACACGGUCCAAACUCCUACGGGAGGCAGCAGUGAGGAAUAUUGGUCAAUGGGCGAUGGCCUGAACCAGCCAAGUAGCGUGAAGGAUGACUGCCCUAUGGGUUGUAAACUGCUUUUAUAAGGGAAUAAAGUGAGUCUCGUGAGACUUUUUGCAUGUACCUUAUGAAUAAGGACCGGCUAAUUCCGUGCCAGCAGCCGCGGUAAUACGGAAGGUCCGGGCGUUAUCCGGAUUUAUUGGGUUUAAAGGGAGCGUAGGCCGGAGAUUAAGCGUGUUGUGAAAUGUAGACGCUCAACGUCUGCACUGCAGCGCGAACUGGUUUCCUUGAGUACGCACAAAGUGGGCGGAAUUCGUGGUGUAGCGGUGAAAUGCAUAGAUAUCACGAAGAACUCCGAUUG
RNAcentral lists this ribosomal RNA (696 nucleotides) under uncultured bacterium. Its description in RNAcentral is "bacterial SSU rRNA". It matches the Rfam family "Bacterial small subunit ribosomal RNA", at positions 32 to 715 of the family's 1533-position model. The record is from RNAcentral.